This 253-nucleotide ribosomal RNA is filed under the name uncultured bacterium. RNAcentral describes it as "partial 16S ribosomal RNA". It matches the Rfam family "Bacterial small subunit ribosomal RNA", at positions 524 to 776 of the family's 1533-position model. The record is from RNAcentral.
GACGUAGGGGGCUAGCGUUGUCCGGAUUUAUUGGGCGUAAAGAGCGUGUAGGCGGCCAGGUAGGUCUGCUGUGAAAACUCGAGGCUCAACCUCGAGACGUCGGCGGAAACCAUCUGGCUAGAGUCCGGAAGAGGAGAGUGGAAUUCCUGGUGUAGCGGUGAAAUGCGCAGAUAUCAGGAAGAACACCCGUGGCGAAGGCGGCUCUCUGGGACGGUACUGACGCUGAGACGCGAAAGCGUGGGGAGCGAACAGG